RNAcentral lists this unclassified non-coding RNA (90 nucleotides) under Pseudomonas vancouverensis. Lineage: Bacteria; Pseudomonadati; Pseudomonadota; Gammaproteobacteria; Pseudomonadales; Pseudomonadaceae. The record is from RNAcentral.
UGUGGGAGCGAGCUUGCUCGCGAUGGCGUCAUGUCAGUCAACAACGAGGUUGGCUGCACAAUCGCUAUCGCGAGCAAGCUCGCUCCCACA